This 253-nucleotide ribosomal RNA is filed under the name uncultured bacterium. RNAcentral's name for it is "partial 16S ribosomal RNA". It matches the Rfam family "Bacterial small subunit ribosomal RNA", at positions 524 to 776 of the family's 1533-position model. The record is from RNAcentral.
UACGUAGGGGGCAAGCGUUGUCCGGAAUCAUUGGGCGUAAAGAGCGUGUAGGCGGCCAGGUAGGUCUGGUGUGAAAACUCGAGGCUCAACCUCGAGACGUCGGUUGAAACCGUACGGCUAGAGUCCGGAAGAGGAGAGUGGAAUUCCCGGUGUAGCGGUGAAAUGCGCAGAUAUCGGGAAGAACACCCGUGGCGAAGGCGGUUCUCUGGGCAUGACCUGACGCUGAGGAGCGAAAGUGUGGGGAGCGAACAGG